CGCUAGGUUUCCGUCUGGCGCCGAUCCGGCUGCGUCACGCCGGCCGAACGACACCCCGCUGAGUCGCCGCCGCAGGGAAGGUACCUUCGGCCCCAACGGGAAAAGCCAAUUUCCAGUAAUUCGCGCCCGACCACCGGGGAGUGAAUGUUUCCCUCUGAGGAUGAAGAUCACUAUAAACAACUCUGAUGAGAUCAUGCUGACACAAUGCCCCUUCUGUCAAAGCCAUGGAUCCAAUUGUUGAAGGCUACAAAAAUAAGGACGUGACUUGACUCUCCUGCCUCUCUGCUUAUGUUCAAUUGAUAGCUGCUUCCAGAAACCUCACCGGCUCCUCAUCUCAACAGGCCAAAACUAUACCUCUUCAUAAGACCCAGCUUAGAUGGCAUCACCUCAAUAAAGCCUGCCAUGAUAACUUCAGCUAACAUCUGAGUUUCUCUCUAAAAUCCUCUUAUUAUACAAACCACAUUAUUAGUUAUCUAUAAACAUGUCUUUUCGAACACAGCAGGAGUUUCCUAAAAGCAGGUGCCACACAUGUAAUUCUCCAUAUUUUCAGUGUCCAACUCAAUGGCAUACAUCCAAAAACAUUCAUAAAUAUUGGUCAAAUAAAACAAUUUGAAGAUAUAAAUAAAAUAUUAAUAAUACAAUCAAUUAUAGUAGUUUUACAUACUUUAUAAAAUACAUUAUCAAAAAAAUGCAUUAUCAAUAUCUACCCCUGUACUCAACCUAAUUAGUUCAAACAAGUUACACUUAUAGACAUUUGAAUUGUUUUUUCUUUUUUUGAGACAGGGUCUUGCUCUCUUGCCCAGGCUUGAGCACAGUGGCACA
This 822-nucleotide long non-coding RNA is filed under the name Homo sapiens (human). Its description in RNAcentral is "HSALNT0308332". Lineage: Eukaryota; Metazoa; Chordata; Mammalia; Primates; Hominidae. The record is from RNAcentral.